CGCGCGUGCUGACCUUGCCUGGACACCAGGCCUGGCCGCCCGGGGGCCCGAGAGCCCAGCGCUCACACCGGGGCACAGCCUCCGAGGCCCCAGUGCGGUGAGAGGCUCCCGCAGGGACGCCUUUGAUCGCUCUCGGCAGCUUGUCGAAGAUGGAUUGUAGAGCACUGGGAAGAAACAAUCUCUUGCACUUUAUGAAUCUAUUUUUAAAAUAAAAAAAAAUUUAAAUAGC
Molecule: long non-coding RNA, 229 nt
Organism: Nannospalax galili (Upper Galilee mountains blind mole rat)
Lineage: Eukaryota; Metazoa; Chordata; Mammalia; Rodentia; Spalacidae
Exons: 2
Source: RefSeq, a predicted model, not a curated record